This 82-nucleotide transfer RNA is filed under the name Endomicrobium sp. RNAcentral's name for it is "tRNA-Leu". It matches the Rfam family "tRNA". Rfam says of the family: Transfer RNA (tRNA) molecules are approximately 80 nucleotides in length. Their secondary structure includes four short double-helical elements and three loops (D, anti-codon, and T loops). Further hydrogen bonds mediate the characteristic L-shaped molecular structure. tRNAs have two regions of fundamental functional importance: the anti-codon, which is responsible for specific mRNA codon recognition, and the 3' end, to which the tRNAs corresponding amino acid is attached (by aminoacyl-tRNA synthetases). tRNAs cope with the degeneracy of the genetic code in two manners: having more than one tRNA (with a specific anti-codon) for a particular amino acid; and 'wobble' base-pairing, i.e. permitting non-standard base-pairing at the 3rd anti-codon position. The record is from RNAcentral. Lineage: Bacteria; Pseudomonadati; Elusimicrobiota; Endomicrobiia; Endomicrobiales; Endomicrobiaceae.
GCGGGCGUGGCGGAACUGGCAGACGCGUAUGGCUUAGGACCAUAUAUCGUAAGAUAUGGGGGUUCAAUUCCCUCCGUCCGCA